Molecule: non-coding RNA, 72 nt
Organism: Danio rerio (zebrafish)
Lineage: Eukaryota; Metazoa; Chordata; Actinopteri; Cypriniformes; Danionidae
Source: Rfam
GGCUCGUUGGUCUAGGGGUAUGAUUCUCGCUUUGGGUGUGAGAGGUCCUGGGUUCAAAUCCCGGAUGAGCCC